Non-coding RNA from Macaca mulatta (Rhesus monkey), 773 nucleotides. Lineage: Eukaryota; Metazoa; Chordata; Mammalia; Primates; Cercopithecidae. The record is from RefSeq and is a predicted model, not a curated record.
AGCAUCAACCAGUUGCAGGUUGCAGAAGAAACAUGUUUCCUACAGUGACUGCAGGCUGAAGGAUAAUCACAUAUGUCUCAUAAAUUAAGGGGAAACCCUGCUAGUAAUCCUUCAACAUGCGAUGCUGGAAUGGUGUCUGAUGUCACUCAAAAUCCCAUAGCAGGGUUUAUUGUGAAGAGCGAAAGAACAAAGCUUCCACAGCGUGGAAAGGGACCCAAGCGGGGUUGCCCUUGAUUCUUAAGAACUGGGGUUGGUUGGCAGCCGCGAAAUCAUCUAGGAGAGCAGCACAUGGAAUCUAUGGCUCUCGAGAGCUGUAGCUUGAUUUUAGCCUAGAACUGGUCAAGCCAGAUGAGCCAGGCUGGCGGAUAUCGUCAGAAUGAUUUUCCUGCAUUCCUCAGACAAUGAGAAGCUAGCGCAGGGAGAAGCAAUGUUGCAGUGACCUCAUGUCACAGAGCUGAGACCCUGAGUGAGAUUAAUGGACAGCAUCUGCUGCUGCCGAGCUGAUGAAACGCACCAGAGUUGGCGCUGCCAAUGGGGCCCCAGGCUAGAUGGGUCCUCUGCCAAAGGACAAACCGCUGUUCAAAGCAAACACAACAGCGGAGAGGAAAACGAACAUUCCUGCCAUGAAAUCACAAGUCACAUCAAUAAAACACAAGGUUAAUUUCCAUAGGUCUGUGUCUCCACGGAGUUUCGUACGGAAGUAAUGUGCUUCGGUAGAAAGAACACAGGCUUUGGGUUGCUGCAGCCUGCCUGCUACUCUAGACAGGACAGCC